GAGGGUACAGCUCAAGUGGUAGAGCACAUGCUUAGCAUGCAUGAGGUCCUGGGUUCAAUCCCCCGUACCUCCA
Molecule: transfer RNA, 73 nt
Filed under: Camelus ferus (Wild Bactrian camel)
Lineage: Eukaryota; Metazoa; Chordata; Mammalia; Artiodactyla; Camelidae
Rfam family: tRNA
About the family: Transfer RNA (tRNA) molecules are approximately 80 nucleotides in length. Their secondary structure includes four short double-helical elements and three loops (D, anti-codon, and T loops).
Source: Rfam by way of RNAcentral